GGCGCAGGGGAGCAGGCUGACCACGCAGGUCAGCAGCCAAGGGGGCCUGCAGAGUCUGAAGAGGCAGCAGUUACAGCAGUUUCAGCUGUUACAACAGUUACAGCCGUUUCAGUUGUAACAAUUGUUAGUGGGGCGGCUGUUACAGGAGUUACAAGUCUUUGAGAGGCUUGUGGAGAUCAUGGGGCAGACUAGGAGCAUCUAGGAGUCCUUUUUGGAAGACUUAGAAGCUUGUCUUGUAGGCAUAGUCUUAGGAACUUGUAAAGUUUAUUUACUAACUCUUAGGCAGAAUUAGAGUAGUAUAAAUAGUAGAUUACUUUACUUGUAAAGCAUCCAAUUAUUUUCAAGUAAUAGAAGUUCCUUCUUCCAAAGUUCUGUCUUACUUCUUAUUUUCUUAGCGAUCGGAGUUUUAGGCUUACUAGAGUUUGCAAGAACGUGCAAAAGUCGUGAGUAAACCGUCUAGUGCCGCACGGAACAUAGUCCGAAUCAAAAAGUCCGUGACAGUUGGUAUCAGAGAAAAGGUUUAUCGUAGGAAAAUGACGAACGGAGGAAACGGUGGCGGCACCCCCAACGUUCAGGGAGGAAAGAAGAACAAAAAGGGAAAGAACAAGAAGGGCAAUGAACCCAGUCUGCCCAACCCUCCACCGAGCGACCUGCCAGCAGGCAGUCUGCCAUCAGGCGACCUGCCAUCAGGCAGUGUCCCCUCGGGCGACCUGCCAUCAGGCAGUGUCCCCUCGGGCGACCUGCCAUCAGGCAGUGUCCCCUCGGGCGACCUGCCAUCAGGCAGUGUUCCACCAGGAGGUUUACCAUCAAGCGAUCUGCCAACAAAUGAUCCUCCACCAGGCGACGGACAAACAUCUUUCCAGGAGAAUACAGAUGUGGAAAGUGAAGACGAUGUCAGCGACGACGUUAUAGACGUCACUGUUGGACAUGAAUGGAUUGCCAGCGUUGAGAGGGCAAGACUUGCUGUUGAGAUUUUGGGGCAGCGCUUGAAUGGUUUGGACAGCGAUGUUAAAAACCUUGAAGAAAAUUCCCUUGAGGAAGUUAACAUCAUCCGGAAGGAGUUGGAUCUAUGCAAGCGGACUGAAUUGGAGUUGAAGGAGUCCAUUACCUCCUUGGAGUUCAGGUUGUUGGAUGCCACCACAAUGAUCCAGACCCUGAAGAACAAGGUAGUAGCCCUCGAAGAAGAGAGGGAGGUUGCAGCAACAGCAUCACUUGGCCAGGAGAGGGAGACCAGGGUCGAGGUUCCCAAGCCACCAACAUUUAAGGGUGUCCGAGACGCCCUAGAGGUAGGCAAUUUCUUAUGGCACUUGGAAAAUUAUUUCAGGUGUAAUCGGGUAAGGAGCGAUGCAAGCAAGAUCAACACUGCCGUGUUGUAUCUUUCCGACGUAGCCAUGUUGUGGUGGAAAUGCAAAGAUGCCGAGAUCAAGAGGGGCACACGCACCAUCGACACAUGGGAACAAUUCCUUGAGGAAUUCAAGAAAGCUUUCUUCCCCAACAAUGCUGUUUAUGAGAUGAAGCGCAAACUUCGGGAGUUGAAGCAGACGGGAAGUAUUAGGGCCUAUGUGAAGGAGUUCACAAUCUUGACCCUCCAGAUUCCCCAACUCACGGAAGAUGACAUGCUGUUCACCUUCAUGGACGGGCUGCAGAAUUGGGCGAGGACCGAGUUAGAGUGGCGUCAAGUAAAAACCAUCGAUGAGGCCAUCACUCAAGCCGAGACCUUGACAGACUUCAAACAUGAUCGUUUGGACAAGGCGAAGGGCAAGGAGGCAAAGGGCAGACAAGCUAAAGGUGGGGGAGACCGUGGCCGAGGCAGAGAACCGUCGGCACAACCCAAGCAGCAAGACACACCCAAGUCUGAUGGCAAACGGUUCGAACGCCGGAAGUUCUCGGAGAAGCGGACGCAGUCCAGUAGAGGGGACGGGUGCUAUAUAUGUGGCGGACCACACGGUUACGCUAGGUUCCCAUAGAUGAAGAACCUUGGUGCCAUCGCCCGUGAGCGGAAGGAAAAGGAGGCACAAGACAAGGCGAAACCGGCAGACACCACUCAAUUGGGCAUGGUUGGAAUCUGUGGUGCCAUAGCAAAGCAGGCUGACAACCCGGGGGAUUUCAGCACACAAUAUGUGGAUAUCUCCAUCAAUGGGCAAGCAGUUCGGGCCAUGGUAGAUUCCGGGGCUGAGGCUAACAUCAUCACCAAGGCGGCGGCGGAGAAAUUUGGACUGAAAAUUGUUCCAAGUAACAAUCGCCUCAAGACGGUCAAUGCCCCACCAACUCCCAUGUGUGGAAUUGCUCAUGGGGUCGGCAUCACUUUAGGACGGUGGAAAGGUAAGACAAACUUUACCGUAGCUCCUCUGGAUAUAUCCGAUGUCAUUCUUGGGCAGGAAUUCUUUCAACGUUGCCACACGAUGAUCGAUCCCUACCUUCAACAACUCAUGGUGAUGGAGGGGGAAGGGUCUUGUAUGGUGCCUCUUAUUAGGGUGCCGAAGAAAGACGGAUAUGCCCAACUGUCGGCCAUGCAGAUUGUGAAGGGCCUGAAGAAAGGAGCGCCAACCUUUUUAGCCACCAUCGCAAGUUCGAGUGAAGACCAUGGUGCUAUGCAGCCACUGCCACCUAUUAUAGAAUCUGUUUUGCAGGAAAACAGUGAUGUGAUGCCGGAGGAGCUGCCGAAGACACUACCUCCAAGGCGCGAGGUAGAUCACAUGCUUGAGUUGGAGGCGGGAGCCAAGCCACCUGCGCUUGCACCUUAUCGCAUGGCUCCGCCCGAAUUAGAAGAACUGAGGAAGCAAUUGAAAGAGCUCCUCGAAGCAGGUCAUAUUCGUCCAUCAAAGGCACCCUAUGGAGCGCCGGUGCUGUUUCAGAAGAAGAAAGACGGAUCGAUGCAUUUAUGCAUUGAUUACAGGGCGCUCAACAAGAUCACAAUCUGGAACAAGUAUCCAAUCCCGCUGAUCGCAGAUUUGUUCGAUCAUCUUGGAGAGGCCAAAUACUUCACCAAGAUGGAUCUCCGGAAAGGCUACUAUCAAGUGCGCAUUGCAGAGGGGGAUGAGCCAAAGACAGCAUGCGUGAUCAGGUAUGGAGCAUUCGAAUGGUUGGUGAUGCCCUUCGGCUUAACCAACGCACCUGCCACAUUUUGCACGCUGAUGAACGAGAUUUUGCAUCCCUACUUGGAUUAGUUCGUAGUAGUGUACUUAGAUGACAUAGUCGUCUAUAGUAGCACUUUGCAGGAACAUGUAGAGCACUUGAAGAAGGUCUUCAAAGUUUUGCGAGAAAAUCAGCUCUAUGUCAAGCGGGAGAAGUGCGAGUUCGCCCAACCAAAGAUACAUUUCUUGGGCCAUGUGAUCAGCCAAGGUGAGCUUCGUAUGGACGAGGCAAAGGUAAAGGCGAUCCAAGAUUGGGAAGCGCCUACAAAAAUGACCGAGCUACGUUCUUUUCUUGGACUUGCUAAUUAUUAUCGCAGGUUCAUCAGCGGGUACUCCGCUAUUGCUGCACCACUGACCGAGCUGCUGAAGAAGAACAGGCCUUGGUUGUGGAGCGAGGAGUGCGAGGAAGCGUUCGAGGGUCUUAAGGCUGCGGUGACUAAAGAGCCAGUUUAGAUGCUGCCUGAUUUCACCAAGACCUUCGAAAUCCAUACGGAUGCUUCUGAAUUUGCCAUUGGGGGAGUCUUGAUGCAAGAGAAGCACCCCAUAGCAUUCGAAAGCCGGAAGCUGAAUGAAGCGGAACGACGGUACACUGUGCAGGAGAAGGAGAUGACAGCCAUUGUGCAUUGUCUACGCACAUGGAGGCAUUAUCUACUAGGCUCCAAAUUUGUAGUAAAAACUGAAAAUGUUGCCACUAGCUAUUUUCAGUCGCAGAAGAAGAUCACACCAAAGCAGGCUCGUUGGCAGGAUUUCUUAGCUGAAUUUGACUACAACUUGGAGUACAAACCAGGAAGGGGCAAUGUGGUAGCCGAUGCAUUGAGCAGAAAGACUGAGUUAGCGGCCAUCUCCUCAGUCCGUAGUGAAUUUCAAGGCGCAAUCAAAGAUGGUAUGCAACGGGAUCCGGAAGCCAAGAAGAUUAUGGAGCUGGCUGCUCAAGGCCAAACCAAACGGUUUUGGGUAGAAGACGGAUUCUUGCUUACCACUGGCCGGAGGAUUUAUGUACCAAAGUUCGGAUUCAUCAGGCGGCGUAUUAUCAAAGAAAGCCACGAUACUCCGUGGGCUGGGCAUCCGGGACAGAAGAGAACGAGGGCGUUAGUGGAGGCCUUCUAUUUCUGGCCACGUAUGCGGGAAGAGAUUGAGCAGUACGUGCAGACUUGUCUAGUGUGCCAGCAAGACAAGAUAGAGCAGAGGCAACCAGGAGGGCUGUUGGAGCCGUUACCCAUAGCUGAUCGUUCAUGGGAGAGCAUAUCUAUGGAUUUCAUUACUUCUUUGCCGAAGUCAAACGGGUUUGGCACUAUUAUGGUCGUAGUGGACAGAUUUUCCAAAUAUGCUACAUUCAUGCCUGCCACAGCCGGUUGUACUGCUAAGGAAGCUGCACAAUUGUUCUUUAAGAAUGUAGUGAAGUAUUGGGGGCUGCCGAGGUUCAUCAUUAGUGAUCGGGAUCCUCGUUUCACAGGGAACUUUUGGAGUGAACUCUUUGAGAUUCUUGGUUCAAAACUUCACUUUUCCACCAGUUUCCACCCCCAAACUGAUGGCCAAACUGAACGUGUCAAUGCCUUGUUGGAAUGCUAUCUCAGGCACUAUGUUAGUGCACAUCAGAAGGAUUGGGCUAAGCUCCUAGACAUGGCGCAAUUUUCUUAUAAUUUGCAGAGGAGUGAAUCUACAGGGCGCACACCGUUCGAGUUAGCAACGGGCCAACAACCCCAAACUCCGCACUCAUUGCCAACAUUGUUCGAAGGGAAGAGUUUGGGCGCUUACAACCUUGCCAAGGGUUGGGAAGAGCAACUCGACCUUGCCAAAUCUUAUUUGAGCAAGGCGGCAAGGAAGAUGAAGAAGUUCGCCGACCGCAAGCGUCGUCCCACCAACUACAAAGAAGGUGAUAUGGUUUUGGUAAAGUUUAAUCCGAGGCAGUUUAAGGCGCUUAGAGGCAUGCAUCACAACCUGGUGCGGAAAUAUGAGGGUCCGUUCAAAAUUGUUGCCAAGGUGGGUAAGAUUUCAUACAGAUUGGAGUUACCUCCACACUUCAAGAUCCACCCGGUCUUUCAUGCAAGCGUCCUUAAGCCUUAUCAUGAGGACAAGGACGAUCCCAGCCGGAACAAAUCACAACGGGCCCCUAUCACCGUUACUGCCUCGCAUGAUCGUGUGAUUGAAGCUAUCAUAGAUUACCAAGCCAAGCAAAAACGAGGACAACAGGCCAGUGCCAUGUUUCUCGUACAUUGGAAGGGACAAACUCCGGAGGAAGCCACAUGGGAGAAGUACGAAGACUUGUGGCAGUUCAAAGACAAAAUUCAGGAGUUCUUGCAGCAAUGCGUCGCGGUCGUCGCAUCAUGGGGUGGGGGAGAUUGUGACGUCCCGCCAUCCAUUCAGGCCGAACGCCACCCAACGAGGCAGCCAGCAGGCGCAGCAGGCGCAGGGGAGCAGGCUGACCACGCAGGUCAGCAGCCAAGGGGGCCUGCAGCAGCUGAAGAGGCAGCAGUUACAGCAGUUUCAGCUGUUACAACAGUUACAGCCGUUUCAGCUGUAACAAUUGUUAGUGGGGCGGCUGUUACAGGAGUUACAAGUCUUUGAGAGGCUUGUGGAGAUCAUGGGGCAUACUAGGAGCAUCUAGGAGUCCUU
Molecule: long non-coding RNA, 5747 nt
Filed under: Solanum lycopersicum (tomato)
Lineage: Eukaryota; Viridiplantae; Streptophyta; Magnoliopsida; Solanales; Solanaceae
Description: long non-coding RNA (SLYC_LNC001191)
Source: RNAcentral